RNAcentral lists this long non-coding RNA (217 nucleotides) under Ananas comosus (pineapple). RNAcentral describes it as "long non-coding RNA (ACOM_LNC021951)". The record is from RNAcentral. Lineage: Eukaryota; Viridiplantae; Streptophyta; Magnoliopsida; Poales; Bromeliaceae.
AAAAAAAAAUUUAAUAUAUUUUUUUGUAUUAUUAACCAAUCAAAUAUUGAUUAUUUUCUACUAUAUUUUUAUUUUUUUAUUUGUAUAUUUAAUUUAUGAUUUAUUAUAAUUUUUAUCCGCUGCAUCGCACGGGUUCCUACGCUAGUAUAAAUAAUGAGGGAUAAAUGUGAAAAAAGCUAAAAUAAAAUUCUGAAGCCUAAUGAGAAUGUUUGAGUUU